This 751-nucleotide long non-coding RNA is filed under the name Sorghum bicolor (sorghum). RNAcentral's name for it is "long non-coding RNA (SBIC_LNC015115)". The record is from RNAcentral. Lineage: Eukaryota; Viridiplantae; Streptophyta; Magnoliopsida; Poales; Poaceae.
GGUCCAAGAGAGAUGACUGUUUGUAGAAGGUAUACCGGUGGCUUGGUAUAGCAGACAGACUUGGGAGGCGUCAGGAAGAUUCCUAUCUCGAGUAUGAGUAGGAAUCAAUAAAUGUUGGCUCCCUCUGGGACACUGUAUUAGGUGUCCAAGUGACUUUUCCUUUGUCGGGCUUGUUUAGUUCCCAAGAAAUUUUGCAAAAUUUUUCAGAUUUCCCGUCACAUUAAAUCUUUAGACGCAUACAUGAAGUAUUAAAUAUAGACGAAAAUAAAAACUAAUUGCACAGUUUGGUCGGAAUUGACGAGACGAAUCUUUUGAGUCUAGUUAGUAUAUGAUUGGAUAAUAUUUGUCAAAUACAAACAAAAGUGAUACUAUUCCUAUUUUGCAAAAAAUUUUGGAACUAAACAAGGCCCUAGCUCAGGCCUCUGCGUUAGGAAAAGUAUUAUGACCUUAAGUUUUCUAUGACCAACUGUAAAGAAUGCACUCGUGAUUUCUUGUGGAGAUCUGUAAAUAAUGUUUAAUCACAUCAUAUAAAGAGCGAUGAGGGAUUGCGCGGCACCAAUAACGCCACACUGCUGCAAGCUGAGACUAUGAAACUCUCUCUGUGAUCCUUUUGGUCCAAGGGAGAUGACUUGUUUGUGUAGAGCGCUCCAGUAGUACAGAAAGACUAGCUUGGGAGGCGUCGGGAACACUCAUGUCACAAGUACCGCCCUAAAUGGAUGAACAGGGGGCCCUGUCAGGACAUGGUCGCGAU